RNAcentral lists this ribosomal RNA (491 nucleotides) under uncultured bacterium. Its description in RNAcentral is "partial 16S ribosomal RNA". It matches the Rfam family "Bacterial small subunit ribosomal RNA", at positions 29 to 507 of the family's 1533-position model. The record is from RNAcentral.
GUGCACACUGGCGGUAGGCCUAACACAUGCAAGUCGAACGGCAGCACCGUAAGAGCUUGCUCUUACGGGUGGCGAGUGGCGGACGGGUGAGGAAUACAUCGGAAUCUACUUUUUCGUGGGGGAUAACGUAGGGAAACUUACGCUAAUACCGCAUACGACCUACGGGUGAAAGCAGGGGAUCUUCGGACCUUGCGCGAUUGAAUGAGCCGAUGUCGGAUUAGCUAGUUGGCGGGGUAAAGGCCCACCAAGGCGACGAUCCGUAGCUGGUCUGAGAGGAUGAUCAGCCACACUGGAACUGAGACACGGUCCAGACUCCUACGGGAGGCAGCAGUGGGGAAUAUUGGACAAUGGGCGCAAGCCUGAUCCAGCCAUACCGCGUGGGUGAAGAAGGCCUUCGGGUUGUAAAGCCCUUUUGUUGGGAAAGAAAAGCAGCAGGUUAAUACCCCGCUGUUCUGACGGUACCCAAAGAAUAAGCACCGGCUAACUUCGUG